This 93-nucleotide transfer RNA is filed under the name Thermosulfurimonas dismutans. RNAcentral describes it as "tRNA-Ser". It matches the Rfam family "tRNA". From Rfam's summary of the family: Transfer RNA (tRNA) molecules are approximately 80 nucleotides in length. Their secondary structure includes four short double-helical elements and three loops (D, anti-codon, and T loops). The record is from RNAcentral. RNAcentral also lists the same sequence under 1 other name. Lineage: Bacteria; Pseudomonadati; Thermodesulfobacteriota; Thermodesulfobacteria; Thermodesulfobacteriales; Thermodesulfobacteriaceae.
GGAGGGGUGGCCGAGUGGUCGAAGGCGCUCGCCUGCUAAGCGAGUGUGCCGGCAAAACCGGCACCGUGGGUUCGAAUCCCACCCCCUCCGCCA